GAUGAAGAACGCAGCAAAAUGCGAUAAGUAAUGUGAAUCGCAGAAUUCAGUGAAUCAUCGAAUCUUUGAACGCACAUUGCGCCCGCCAGUAUUCUGGCGGGCAUGCCUGUUCGAGCGUCAUUUCAACCCUCAAGCACAGCUUGGUGUUGGGACUCGCGUUAAUUCGCGUUCCCCAAAUUGAUUGGCGGUCACGUCGAGCUUCCAUAGCGUAGUAGUAAAACCCUCGUUACUGGUAAUCGUCGCGGCCACGCCGUUAAACCCCAACUUCUGAAUGUUGACCUCGGAUCAGGUAGGAAUACCCGCUGAACUUAAGCAUAUCAAUAAGCGGAGGA
Molecule: unclassified non-coding RNA, 332 nt
Filed under: soil metagenome
Description: partial contains 5.8S ribosomal RNA, internal transcribed spacer 2, and large subunit ribosomal RNA
Rfam family: 5.8S ribosomal RNA (bases 1-120)
Source: RNAcentral